This 209-nucleotide unclassified non-coding RNA is filed under the name Hevea brasiliensis (rubber tree). The record is from RNAcentral. Lineage: Eukaryota; Viridiplantae; Streptophyta; Magnoliopsida; Malpighiales; Euphorbiaceae.
GUUCCACUGUUAUCUGAUAUUUUUUUUCUCUCUAAUUAUCACUAUCAUUUUCUACUCAAAAGCUGUUACCAACUCAAAACAGAUAAAGCAUACCUACUGCAGUUGCAAUUCUGUGUAAGUCAUGGAAACCAAUGGUGACUGCGAGGCUGAGGACCAUCAGCAACCAAUUGACAUCUGGAAUGUAGACCUGGAUUGAUUUCUUUGAGAAA